ACUAAUUAAUAUCAAUAGGUUAAUUUAUAAAUGUUAUGGCAUUUCUUUUAACAUUAGCUAAACUUUUGUUGUUGAGUAUAUAUAAUUAUGUUGAAAUGAAUGAACAUUUGACAAGGAAGAAGGCUCCUCUGCAGGGGACCAGUGCAUUAUGACUGCACCGGUGUAAAACCUUCGUAUUACUAAAUAACAGCGUAAUGUCAAGAGACACUCCAUGACAUUGUAAUGCCAAGUUAACAUCCCCGUCUCUGUACAAUCACGAGGUUUCAGCCGGCCAGCUAUUACUGAAGUAGAAAAAGAAGCAAAAGCCAUAAAGCAGCUAAGACAAACCCGUCUAAGUUCUCAAUGACAAGUCGGAUAACACGGAGUAAAGUUCCUUGUUCAUCAUUGAAGAAAAACAACAAGAGUUCUUUGAGGGCAUAGCCCAGGAGCCAGGAACCAUCCCCUUGUCUCAAGAGGGAUCUCAGUGCGGUAAUGAGCUUGUAUCCACUCUGCCCGCAGCACAGCGGUGGCCUCCUCUCGAGAUCUGCACCUGUCAACACAGAAGCAAUCAGGGCCUACAGACAACGAUAAUGAUGACAAGAUGAAAACUACAGUACGGAAAAGAAACAAUGGCUGUACUCAGGUUGACUGAGAUCACUGGGUUCGAACUAUAUGGAGCCAGUCAGUCAAACAAAAUUGGACGGGCAUCGAAAAUACCGACCUGGACCAAACUGUAUUUUGCCCCGCAGCUAUACAGAUUUUGCUUGACACAGAAUACAAAAUAUCCAGUAAGUGACGCAGAUACAGAUUUUAAGAUUGUUUUAUGGCGUAAGGAGUGGUUUUUGUGGACGAACACCUAAUAAAAACAUGCCAAAGCGGAGUCAUAAAUGUCACCACACGACAACUCUCUCAUAUUGAUGUGUUUUGUUGUUAUGUUGUUUAGAAAGUAUCAUCUUAUAAAUGUAAACGGCUAAUAGAUACGGUACUUGGUUGUUGGUACAUUUAUUACAGUAUUUACUUGUUUACUGUACAACUGGUUAUUAAACCAUUCUGGUCCGGUGAGAGGGACACAAACAAUUUUCUGCAUUAAAACAAAAUACAAAGGUGUAGUUGAUAGACAUAUGUUUUCUUA
Gigantopelta aegis is the source of this 1111-nucleotide long non-coding RNA. RefSeq lists it as uncharacterized. The record is from RefSeq and is a predicted model, not a curated record. Lineage: Eukaryota; Metazoa; Mollusca; Gastropoda; Neomphalida; Peltospiridae. The transcript is spliced from 3 exons.